This 497-nucleotide ribosomal RNA is filed under the name uncultured bacterium. RNAcentral's name for it is "partial 16S ribosomal RNA". It matches the Rfam family "Bacterial small subunit ribosomal RNA", at positions 28 to 507 of the family's 1533-position model. The record is from RNAcentral.
GAUGAACGCUGGCGGCGUGCCUAAUACAUGCAAGUCGAACGAACAGACGAGGAGCUUGCUCCUCUGACGUUAGCGGCGGACGGGUGAGUAACACGUGGAUAACCUACCUAUAAGACUGGGAUAACUUCGGGAAACCGGAGCUAAUACCGGAUAAUAUAUUGAACCGCAUGGUUCAAUAGUGAAAGACGGUUUUGCUGUCACUUAUAGAUGGAUCCGCGCCGCAUUAGCUAGUUGGUAAGGUAACGGCUUACCAAGGCGACGAUGCGUAGCCGACCUGAGAGGGUGAUCGGCCACACUGGAACUGAGACACGGUCCAGACUCCUACGGGAGGCAGCAGUAGGGAAUCUUCCGCAAUGGGCGAAAGCCUGACGGAGCAACGCCGCGUGAGUGAUGAAGGUCUUCGGAUCGUAAAACUCUGUUAUUAGGGAAGAACAAAUGUGUAAGUAACUAUGCACGUCUUGACGGUACCUAAUCAGAAAGCCACGGCUAACUACGUG